CUGAUUCCACCUACAGCAAAGCUGGAUGCUAUGGUUGGCAGAGGCAAGCCCCUUGCCUGCACUUCAGGCCAAAGCCGGGAUGUGGCCUAGAUGGUUCCUAAGGUCCCUGACAGUCCUGAGAUCUUUCAUCUUGUCUAUUUCAGGUCAAAGCUUCUCAGAUGACCAAGAUGGUGCUGCCGAUGGUGUUGAGGACGGAGAACCCACCAAGCCCCGUUAGGAGCCACCUAGACUGGAUGCAGAGCACAAUGGAAUGCAGCCUGGCUCUGUCGCCCAGGCUGGAGUGCAGUGGCGUGACCUGGGCUCACUGCAAGCUCCGCCUCUUGGGUUCACAUGAUUCUCCUGCCUCAGCCUCCUGAGUAGCUGGGACUACAGGUGCCGCCACCAUGCUCAGCUAAUUUUUUGUAUUUUUAGUAGAGAUGGAGUUUCACCAUGUCGGCCAGCCUGGUCUCAAACUCCUGACCUCAAGUGAUCCACCCGCCUCAGCCUCCCAAAAUGCUGGGAUUCCAGGCAUGAGCACCGCUCCCAGCCUCCACAUUUCUAAAAUUGAAGUUCU
RNAcentral lists this long non-coding RNA (553 nucleotides) under Pongo abelii (Sumatran orangutan). RNAcentral describes it as "lincRNA". The record is from RNAcentral. Lineage: Eukaryota; Metazoa; Chordata; Mammalia; Primates; Hominidae.